AUUCAAUCAAAUUAAGUUAAUUAGUGAUCAAGUCACUAAUUAAACCUCUCAUAAAUAUUGAGUCUAAAUCCGAUGGGCAAUCGGGCAUCAGAAUUCAUCGAUAUAAAAUCCUGAUCGAAAAAUCCCAAACUAGUGGGACUUUUGACCUUGGUACCCAAAAUGUGUAGAACUCAUGAUCAGAGAAUCUUGAUUCUCGAUCAUAGAAUUUCAGACACUUAAGACUCUUCACCAGCCAUC
This 237-nucleotide long non-coding RNA is filed under the name Elaeis guineensis (African oil palm). Its description in RNAcentral is "long non-coding RNA (EGUI_LNC046856)". The record is from RNAcentral. Lineage: Eukaryota; Viridiplantae; Streptophyta; Magnoliopsida; Arecales; Arecaceae.